GUCCACGCCCUAAACGAUGAUGACUAGUUGUUGGAGGAGUUAAAUCCUUUAGUAACGCAGCUAACGCGUGAAGUCAUCCGCCUGGGGAGUACGGUCGCAAGAUUAAAACUCAAAGGAAUUGACGGGGCCCGCACAAGCGGUGGAUGAUGUGGUUUAAUUCGAUGCAACGCGAAAACCUUAACCUACCUUUGACAUGCUAGGAACGCUGCAGAAAUGCAGCGGUGCCCGAAAGGGAACCUAGACACAGGUGCUGCAUGGCUGUCGU
This 265-nucleotide ribosomal RNA is filed under the name uncultured bacterium. RNAcentral describes it as "partial 16S ribosomal RNA". It matches the Rfam family "Bacterial small subunit ribosomal RNA", at positions 793 to 1055 of the family's 1533-position model. The record is from RNAcentral.